CACAUAGUUCAGUGGUAGAGCACUUGCCUGGCAUACAUGAGGUCGUGGGUUCAAUACCCAGCUGUG
RNAcentral lists this transfer RNA (66 nucleotides) under Fukomys damarensis (Damara mole-rat). It matches the Rfam family "tRNA". From Rfam's summary of the family: Transfer RNA (tRNA) molecules are approximately 80 nucleotides in length. Lineage: Eukaryota; Metazoa; Chordata; Mammalia; Rodentia; Bathyergidae. The record is from Rfam by way of RNAcentral.